Numida meleagris (helmeted guineafowl) is the source of this 1063-nucleotide long non-coding RNA. RefSeq lists it as uncharacterized. Lineage: Eukaryota; Metazoa; Chordata; Aves; Galliformes; Numididae. The transcript is spliced from 2 exons. The record is from RefSeq and is a predicted model, not a curated record.
UCCACAGCUGAAAACACCAACAGAAAAAAACAAAGAAUUUUACAUAGUGAGCUGUGUAACCCAUUCUGAAAUGAAAGCUUAUAGAAGUGCAAGGUACCUGAGGAAACUCUAAUUUCUCUGGAGCCCCCCAUCACCCAGUCUUGCACCUUACAGUCCAUACGUAUUUUGUCAAAUUUGAAAACUGUAUGCAUCUCUGUUCUGAACAACUGCUGCAACUCAAGGAAAAGUCUUGGCAUCUCAGCACAUGCCAAGUUCAGCUUUGGGAAGAGCCUAUUUAGGAGUCGAGCCUUACCUAAUGGAUUGGCACCAAUAAACACAUUUUCAAAGUUCAUUUUCGGCAUGUAAGAUAAAGAUUGAAUGUAGUUUCUCGCCUGUGGAAAUAAACAGUCUGUUAAGUAUAAUACAACCCAGUCACCAAGACAGUACUUUUCAGUCAUCCUGAAGCACUGCUCAUUAUGGUCUGUCUCCUCACUUCGCCUCCUCUGUACUUAUUCUGAUACUUACUAAGCCCAUCAACGCUAUCCCUUCCCAACUAAAGGCCACUCAGGACAGUGGAGCAAGAGCUGAUAUUACUUGAGGUUCAUGCAAGACUGGGAAGCAAAGAGGCACUGCAGAGCUGACUGCCCCGGAGUCCCGAUGAGGCUGCGUGCAGUUGAUGUCUGCUGAAGUUCUCAACCCAAGACUGAAAUAAUAUAAAAGUGGCAGUACAGCUGAAUAUAGAGGUCAACCUUCAGCAAAGAGGUCUGUGAUUCUCCUGACAGAGGGACCCCACGCACAAAAAAGCACCUAAAAGGCACUCUGGGUCUUGCACUACAAAACCAAAGGUGUUUGCAGCAGUGUUUCAGAAAUUAAUCAUGCUACAGAAGGGACUGUACACAUCUAGAGGAUUACACACUGCUCUUGUUCCGCCUCCCUCACCAGAAAGAUCCUUGGUACUCAAUCUGGAGAAAUAACAACUGAGAAGCCUCAAGUUGCCAUGAUAAAUACUUCCCUAGCAGCAUCUGAUCGUACCAUGUAUCACGAAGCAUAAACCCACAAACUGAAAAAAAAAAAAAGUCAUGAA